GAUGAAUGUUGGCGGUGUGCCUGAGAUAUGCAAGUCGAACGUCUUUUGCGCCGCAAGGUGCGAGGGUAGUGGCGGACGGCUGAGUAAUACGUAGGGAUCUGCCCCUUUCUGGAAAAUAGCUUACCGAAAGGCGAGAUAAUAUUCCAUGAUGUCCGACGUUAUGUCGGACUAAAGAGAUUAACUUCUUGGAGAGGGAGGAACCUGCGGCCUAUCAGGUAGUUGGUAGGGUAACUGCCUACCAAGCCUACGACGGGUAGCUGGUCUGAGAGGAUGGUCAGCCAGAGGGGUACUGAGACACGGACCCCACUCCUACGGGAGGCAGCAAUCAGGAAUAGUCGGCAAUGGGCGAAAGCCUGACCGCGCGACACCGCGUGUGGGAAUAAGCUCUAAUCGAGUGUAAACCACUGUGGUAAGGGAAGAAGGUCCGACGUUACGUCGGACUUGACGGUACCUUACUAGAAAGGGGCCGCUAACUGCGUGCCAGAAGCGUCGGUAAUACGUGGGCCCCAAACAUUAUCCGGUUUUACUGGGCUUAAAGGGUCGUGUAGGCGUUCCGAUCAGUCUUGGUUUAAAAACUACGGCUUAACCGUGGGAAAGGUCGAGAUACUAUCGGGAUCGAGUUACUUUUAGGGAAACUGGAACUCAGGGAGGAGUAGUGAAAUGCGUUGAUACCCUGGGGAACACCGGUGGCGAAGGCGAGUUUCUGAAAGGUAACUGACGCUGAGACACGAAAGCUAGGGUAGCGAAGCAGAUUAGAGACCUGCGUAGUCCUAGCUGUAAACUAAUGCUUGCUAGCUGCACCUAUCGGCUUUAUUGCUGAAAGAUGUGGCGAAGGAAAUCCGUUAAGCAGGCCGCCUGGGGAUUACGACCGCAAGGUUAAAACUCAAAGGAAUUGGCGGGGAGGCACACAACCAGUGGAACAUGUGGUUUAAUUCGAAACGAACCGAAGAACCUCACCAGGACUUGACAUGCUAUCGUACAUUUCGCUAGAAAUAGUGAGAAAUCCGCAAGGAUGAUAGCACAGGUGCUGCAUGGCCGUCGUCAGCUCGUUCCGUGAGGAGUACCCUUAAGUGGGACAACGAGCGCAACCCCCACUCUGUGUUAAAUCUGUCACAGAGGACGGUCCCGACAUUGUCGGGAAGGAAGGAGGGGUAGACGUCAGGUCAGCAUGGUCCUUAUGUCCUGGGCUACACACAUGUUACAAUGAAGAGAAACAAUAGGUUGCUAACUUGUAAAAGGGAGCCAAUCCUACAAACCUCUUCUUAAGUGGGGAUUGAAGUCUGCAACUCGACUUCAUGAACGCGGAAUUGGUAGUAAUCGUGGGUCAGCUAUACCACGGUGAAUACGUUCUUGCCUCUUGCACACACCGCCCGUCAAGCCAACAAAGUCGAUAUUAUUUGAAAAUUCGUUUCCGAUUCGGAAGUGGAAAGAGGAUAGUGUCGGCGAUGGGGGUU
This 1454-nucleotide ribosomal RNA is filed under the name uncultured bacterium. Its description in RNAcentral is "bacterial SSU rRNA". It matches the Rfam family "Bacterial small subunit ribosomal RNA". The record is from RNAcentral.